Molecule: long non-coding RNA, 561 nt
Filed under: Ornithorhynchus anatinus (platypus)
Lineage: Eukaryota; Metazoa; Chordata; Mammalia; Monotremata; Ornithorhynchidae
Description: lncRNA (ENSOANG00000032755.2)
Source: RNAcentral
CUUUCUGUUGUUUUGCCGAGGACUCUCCCUCAACCACAGAGCAAAAAAUAAUGUCAAGUAAUUGCCUCAAGUGAAGCCCCUAGGAGAGAGAGAGAGUUCAUUUGGGAGUUUUGUGAAAUCUCCACUUUCCUGAUUUGAGCUGGAGAGGGAAGAAGGGCAGAAGCAGAGAAGAGGACAUAGAAAGGGCACUGUCUGCAAACUUCAGUCAAAGGAGGAAAAGGUGGGAAAGGAAAAGAAAGGCCACUGAGCAUCUCCUAGGUUAGAGCUGAUUUUCCAGGAGCACCCUGGGCUGGACACAAAAACUGGAGUGGGAGAAACGGCAGGCAAUGUUUCCGCUUGGAAGGAGCGCUUUCCGGCUUGCUGAGGAACUGUUGCUAUGGAAACAGGGCUCCUUCAGCAGAAAGGAAUGAAAAUGGAAUGGUGAAACUUGCUAUCAACUUGUGUAAAGAGGAGGAAAGGAACUUCACACUUGAAAGAAAUGAAUGGACUAUGAAAAAGGGUGUGGAUAAAGAACGAGGAGAGCACAGAUCCAGGCAUUUCACAGUGCAGCGAGACUUAGAG